GGCUCAGAUGAACGCUGGCGGCAUGCUUUACACAUGCAAGUCGAACGGCAGCGCGGGGCAACCUGGCGGCGAGUGGCGAACGGGUGAGUAAUAUAUCGGAACGUACCCAAGAGUGGGGGAUAACGUAGCGAAAGUUACGCUAAUACCGCAUACGAUCUAAGGAUGAAAGCAGGGGAUCUUCGGACCUUGUGCUCCUGGAGCGGCCGAUAUCUGAUUAGCUAGUUGGUGAGGUAAAGGCUCACCAAGGCUACGAUCAGUAGCUGGUCUGAGAGGACGACCAGCCACACUGGAACUGAGACACGGUCCAGACUCCUACGGGAGGCAGCAGUGGGGAAUUUUGGACAAUGGGCGAAAGCCUGAUCCAGCAAUGCCGCGUGAGUGAAGAAGGCCUUCGGGUUGUAAAGCUCUUUUGUCAGGGAAGAAACGGUGAGGGCUAAUAUCCCUCGCUAAUGACGGUACCUGAAGAAUAAGCACCGGCUAACUACGUGCCAGCAGCCGCGGUAAUACGUAGGGUGCAAGCGUUAAUCGGAAUUACUGGGCGUAAAGCGUGCGCAGGCGGUUUUGUAAGUCUGACGUGAAAUCCCCGGGCUCAACCUGGGAAUUGCGUUGGAGACUGCAAGGCUAGAAUCUGGCAGAGGGGGGUAGAAUUCCACGUGUAGCAGUGAAAUGCGUAGAGAUGUGGAGGAACACCGAUGGCGAAGGCAGCCCCCUGGGUCAAGAUUGACGCUCAUGCACGAAAGCGUGGGGAGCAAAC
This 754-nucleotide ribosomal RNA is filed under the name uncultured bacterium. RNAcentral describes it as "bacterial SSU rRNA". It matches the Rfam family "Bacterial small subunit ribosomal RNA", at positions 21 to 773 of the family's 1533-position model. The record is from RNAcentral.